UACGUAGGUGACAAGCGUUGUCCGGAAUUACUGGGCGUAAAGGGCUCGUAGGCGGCCAACUAAGUCGGAUGUGAAAUCCCCAGGCUCAACCUGGGAACUGCAUCCGAUACUGGAUGGCUUGAAUUCGGGAGAGGGAUGCAGAAUUCCAGGUGUAGCGGUGAAAUGCGUAGAUAUCUGGAGGAAUACCGGUGGCGAAGGCGGCAUCCUGGACCGACAUUGACGCUGAGGAGCGAAAGCUAGGGGAGCAAACGGG
RNAcentral lists this ribosomal RNA (253 nucleotides) under uncultured bacterium. RNAcentral's name for it is "partial 16S ribosomal RNA". It matches the Rfam family "Bacterial small subunit ribosomal RNA", at positions 524 to 776 of the family's 1533-position model. The record is from RNAcentral.